UACAGAGGAGCCAAGCGUUGUCCGGAUUGACUGGGCGUAAAGCGCACGCAGGCGGAUGCGCGCGUGGGGUGUGAAAUCUGGCCGCUUAACGGCCAGGCGCCAUCCCAUACGGCGCGUCUGGAGUGAUGCAGAGGUCGAUGGAAUUGCCGGUGUAGUGGUGAAAUGCGUAGAGAUCGGCAGGAACACCCAGGGGGAAACCAGCCGACUGGGCAUAGGCUGACGCUGAGGUGCGAGAGCGUGGGGAGCGAACCGG
Molecule: ribosomal RNA, 253 nt
Filed under: uncultured bacterium
Lineage: Bacteria
Description: partial 16S ribosomal RNA
Rfam family: Bacterial small subunit ribosomal RNA
Source: RNAcentral